This 305-nucleotide ribosomal RNA is filed under the name uncultured bacterium. Its description in RNAcentral is "bacterial SSU rRNA". It matches the Rfam family "Bacterial small subunit ribosomal RNA", at positions 334 to 630 of the family's 1533-position model. The record is from RNAcentral.
CUGCCCUACGGGACGCAGCAGUGGGGAAUCUUCCGCAAUGGGCGAAAGCCUGACGGAGCAAUGCCGCGUGAGUGAGGAAGGCCUUCGGGUUGUAAAACUCUGUCCUUAUCGAAGAGAGGUGGGUAUGUGAAUAAUGUACUCAUAGGACGGUAGAUAAGGAGGAAGCCCCGGCUAACUACGUGCCAGCAGCCGCGGUAAUACGUAGGGGGCGAGCGUUGUCCGGAAUCACUUGGCGUAAAGGGCGCGUAGCCGGUUUACUAAGUCAGUUGUGCAAACUGAGGGCUCAACCCUCAGCCUGCCACUGA